This 249-nucleotide unclassified non-coding RNA is filed under the name Hevea brasiliensis (rubber tree). Lineage: Eukaryota; Viridiplantae; Streptophyta; Magnoliopsida; Malpighiales; Euphorbiaceae. The record is from RNAcentral.
GUUUUAAAUUGCGGUCGCGGUCGCAACUGCGGCCGCGGUCACGGGAAACGGAAACAGACUCGUAAUGACUGUUAACGUAACGAUAACGGCUUGCUAUUACACAAAUUUUCAUGAAAUGAGUAAAAAAAAAUAUAUAUACCUCAACGGUCAUAUCAGUAAUAACGGCUAAGUAACAGCCAUUAUUUAAUUUCAUGAUCCUGUUGAAAAAUUUUUCACAUUGUUUUAUUAUUUGGGCACUUAAAAAAAAAA